Non-coding RNA from Podarcis lilfordi (Lilford's wall lizard), 80 nucleotides. The record is from the annotation of a GenBank genome assembly. Lineage: Eukaryota; Metazoa; Chordata; Lepidosauria; Squamata; Lacertidae.
UUUUUCUGGUGAAUUUCCUUGAAAAUAGCUCAAAAAAAGAAGUUUUUUUGAGCUAUUUUCAAAGAAAUUCACCAGAAAAA